UUACGGUCAAAUCAUGCUGAAAACACGGUUCUCGUUCGAUCACCGAAGUUAAGCAUCGUGAGAGCCAGGUCAGUACUUAGAUGGGGACCGCUUGGGAACACCUGGUACUGUAAGC
This 115-nucleotide ribosomal RNA is filed under the name Acanthosepion pharaonis. Lineage: Eukaryota; Metazoa; Mollusca; Cephalopoda; Sepiida; Sepiidae. The record is from RNAcentral.